RNAcentral lists this ribosomal RNA (254 nucleotides) under uncultured bacterium. RNAcentral's name for it is "partial 16S ribosomal RNA". It matches the Rfam family "Bacterial small subunit ribosomal RNA", at positions 524 to 776 of the family's 1533-position model. The record is from RNAcentral.
UACGGGGGGAGCAAGCGUUGUUCGGAUUUACUGGGCGUAAAGGGCGCGUAGGCGGUCAGCACAAGUCAGUUGUGAAAUCUCCGGGCUUAACCCGGAACGGUCAACUGAUACUGUGCGACUAGAGUGCGGAAGGGGCAACUGGAAUUCUCGGUGUAGCGGUGAAAUGCGUAGAUAUCUGGAGGAACACCGGUGGCGAAGGCGACAUCCUGGACCGGUAUUGACGCUGAGGCGCGAAAGCCAGGGGAGCAAACGGG